CCUACGGGAGGCAGCAGUGGGGGAUAUUGCACAAUGGGGGGAACCCUGAUGCAGCGACGCCGCGUGGGUGAAGAAGCGCCUCGGCGCGUAAAGCCCUGUCAGCAGGGAAGAAAAUGACGGUACCUGAAGAAGAAGCUCCGGCUAACUCCGUGCCAGCAGCCGCGGCAAUACGGAGGGGGCAAGCGUUAGCCGGAUUUACUGGGUGGAAAGGGGGCGCAGACGGCGGUGGAAGACAGGAGUGAAAGCCCGGGGCCCAACCCCGGGACUGCUCUUGGAGCUGCGUGGCUGGAGUGCAGGAGGGGCAGGCGGAAUUCCUGGUGUAGCGGUGAAAUGCGUAGAUAUCAGGAGGAACACCGGUGGCGAAGGCGGCCUGCUGGACUGCAACUGACGUUGAGGCCCGAAAGCGUGGGGAGCAAACAGGAUUAGAUACCCUGGUAGUC
This 440-nucleotide ribosomal RNA is filed under the name uncultured bacterium. Its description in RNAcentral is "partial 16S ribosomal RNA". It matches the Rfam family "Bacterial small subunit ribosomal RNA", at positions 338 to 795 of the family's 1533-position model. The record is from RNAcentral.